Molecule: ribosomal RNA, 1680 nt
Filed under: Crenuchus spilurus (sailfin tetra)
Lineage: Eukaryota; Metazoa; Chordata; Actinopteri; Characiformes; Crenuchidae
Description: 16S rRNA
Rfam family: Bacterial large subunit ribosomal RNA (bases 99-1599)
Source: RNAcentral
AGCUAAAAAGCUAGCUCCACAAUAAAGGUAUAACCAAACAAUAUUAACCCAAACCCUACAAAAAUUAAAAUUUAUAAUUAAAUCAUUUUCCCGCCUUAGUAUGGGUGACAGAAAAGGCCUACCUGAAGCAAUAGAAAAAGUACCGCAAGGGAAAGCUGAAAAAGAAAUGAAAAAACCACUAAAGCAGCAAAAAGCAGAGAUAAAACCUCGUACCUUUUGCAUCAUGAUUUAGCUAGCAACUACAAGCAAAGAGAACUUUAGUUUGAGAUCCCGAAACCAAGCGAGCUACCCCGAGAUAACCUAUUUCAGGGUUAAUCCGUCUCUGUGGCAAAAGAGUGGAAAAAGCUCCGGGUAGAAGUGACAGACCUACCGAGCCUGGUGAUAGCUGGUUGCCUAAAAAAUGGAUAAAAGUUCAGCCUCAUACUCCUUAUCUCGCAUAGAAGUUCUAAUAAUGUGAAUAAGCAAAAUAUAAGAGUUAUUCUAAGAGGGUACAGCCCCUUAGAAAUAGGACACAACCUUUCCAGGAGGUUAAGGAUCAUAAUUAUUAAGACUACUGCCCCCGUGGGCCUAAAAGCAGCCACCAAAUCCAGAAAGCGUUAAAGCUCAAGCAGACAAACAUCUAUUAUUCUAAUAAAAUAUCCUAAACCCCUAAUACUACUAGGCCUUUCCAUGCCAACAUGGUAUUGAUAAUGCUAAAAUGAGUAAUAAGAAGGAAACCCCUUCUCCUUAAACCCCUGUGUAAGUUAGAUUGAACCCCUCACUAACAAUUAACGAACCCAAAUAAAGAGGGUAAUGAGACCUAAAAUAAAAAACAAGAAAAUUCCACAAUAUAUUAAACCUAAUCGUUAAACCCACACUGGCGGGCUAAAGGGAAAGACUAAAAGAAAAGGAAGGAACUCGGCAAACACAAGCCUCGCCUGUUUACCAAAAACAUCGCCUCCCGCAAAAUCUCUAUGUAUAGGAGGUCUCGCCUGCCCAGUGACAAUCUGUUAAAUGGCCGCGGUAUUUUGACCGUGCUAAGGUAGCGUAAUCACUUGUCUUUUAAAUGAAGACCCGUAUGAAUGGUAGAACGAGGGCUUUACUGUCUCCCCUUUCCAGUCAAUGAAAUUGAUCUGCCCGUGCAGAAGCGGACAUAAUAAUAUAAGACGAGAAGACCCUAUGGAGCUUAAAACAUAAAUUAAGUAAGCUAAACCCAUAAAACAGUACAAAUAACUUAUUAACUAAUUAAUGUUUUCAGUUGGGGCAACUAUGAGGAAAAAUAUAGCCCUCAUGCGGAAUGGGAUAUUUCCUAAAACCAAGAGACACAUCUCUAAGUCACAAUUAAAUUUGACCUAAAGAUCCGGCUUAAGCCGAUCAACGAACCAAGUUACCCUAGGGAUAACAGCGCAAUCCCCUCCUAGAGACCCUAUCGACAAGGGGGUUUACGACCUCGAUGUUGGAUCAGGACAUCCUAAUGGUGCAGCCACUAUUAAGGGUUCGUUUGUUCAACGAUUAAAGUCCUACGUGAUCUGAGUUCAGACCGGAGCAAUCCAGGUCAGUUUCUAUCUAUAACACUAUUUUUCCUUGUACGAAAGGACCGGAAAAAUAAGGCCCAUACCACAAGCAUGCCUCACCUCAACUUAAUGUAAACAACUUAACUAAAUAAAGGGAAGUACUAAAAAAUAGCGAAAUAAGCAGCAU